AGGAGGUUCAAAUUGUAAUUUGUCAACUGCAAAAUAUAUAACAGAUUUUCAGCAAUGGGCAUGAUUUUGUCCAUAACUGGAAAAUAAAAAUUAUUCAGAAAUUACAAACCAAGGGAAUUCCAUCGAAACCAGAAAAGCAACCCCUAUUUUAAAAGUAUUCUGAUAUGUUGAAGUAUGUAGCCUUAGUCUGAAAUUUUAUUAUUCUACAAAACAUACAAGAACACGCAGCACAACCCUCCAAAACCACCAAUGGAAAAUGUAAACCAAACACAUACAAUUUAUUUCUGAAGCUGUCCGUUCAGCUCUGGCAUUCCUGUUUGUAGAUCUAAUGGUAUGACGAAUGAUUGCAUGGGGCUGUGAAUAUAAGCAUAAUAUAUAUACUUUAACAAAUUUCAAUGAGAAAGUUAAAAGGUCAAACUUUCUUAUCAUUUAUUGAUAAAUAUGAAUAUCUACUAGUAAAUUAUAGGAUAAACAUAAAACAAAUACAAUGAACGCUACAAUA
Homo sapiens (human) is the source of this 502-nucleotide long non-coding RNA. Lineage: Eukaryota; Metazoa; Chordata; Mammalia; Primates; Hominidae. The record is from Ensembl.